ACUUAGACUGGACUAAAAUAAAAACUAGCAAAUUGGAAAUCCCGUUGAAGAGUUCGAUUUUCUCCGCCCGGCAGCGCGGCGACCUCCAUGGUGUCCCUCUUUCUACCAUCUCACUCGCGUAACAGUAUCAUCGAGAGGUCAGCUAAGACCUAGCUGAGCUCUAACUGUGUCUGUGAAGUCUUGAAUUAUAGCUCAAGCUCACUGGCGCAGCUGCAGAAGUCGUGUGUAUGAUGGAUAUGAUCACAGUUAUUGUUGAUGGCGGCACUGAGGAUGCUAUGAAUAGAAAACUUGCCCAUAAUAGAAACCUUGUUGAGGUAAUUUGAGGGGCUACAACUUAUUCACAAGGAAGUGUUUGGAAAUGAGCAAGUGAAAUGAUUCAAGGCUUAAGAGAGUUAUUUUUUAUCCAAGGCUAAGAAAAUUGCUUAAAGUCUACCUUGAGAUUGGAAUACUGGUUAAAACACCUGAUAAGACACUGAUCACAAUUUAAAAUGGAAAGACUGAAAUGAGCUCUGGGACAUAGAUCAAGAAGGUUCUAUUGGAAGUAGGCAACAAAUUUAUAGUGGAAUGGUGAAGUCGGUGCAGCAGAAUAUAGUGCUGGUUCUACUUUUUCCUAAGAGAAGAAAAGGAGAUUAUUAGUAAGUCUGAAGUAAGGAAGAAAUUAGAAGUGUUCACCCAUUAAUUUGAUUCUCUAAGUUGACAUCAAGGUUGCACAUUGUUAGAAACUAGUAAAGUCAUUUCCUGUUAAAAAAACACAAAGACCAUGCAAAUAGACAUGAUUAAAUAUUUUAUUCAUAUCCUUAAUGAGAUUGUGUUAGUUGAUUGCAUGCU
Molecule: long non-coding RNA, 828 nt
Organism: Malania oleifera
Lineage: Eukaryota; Viridiplantae; Streptophyta; Magnoliopsida; Santalales; Ximeniaceae
Exons: 3
Source: RefSeq, a predicted model, not a curated record